This 253-nucleotide ribosomal RNA is filed under the name uncultured bacterium. RNAcentral's name for it is "partial 16S ribosomal RNA". It matches the Rfam family "Bacterial small subunit ribosomal RNA", at positions 524 to 776 of the family's 1533-position model. The record is from RNAcentral.
UACGGAGGAUCCAAGCGUUAUCCGGAAUCAUUGGGUUUAAAGGGUCCGUAGGCGGUUUGGUAAGUCAGUGGUGAAAGCCCAUCGCUCAACGGUGGAACGGCCAUUGAUACUGCCAGACUUGAAUUAUUAGGAAGUAACUAGAAUAUGUAGUGUAGCGGUGAAAUGCUUAGAGAUUACAUGGAAUACCAAUUGCGAAGGCAGGUUACUACUAAUGGAUUGACGCUGAUGAACGAAAGCGUGGGUAGCGAACAGG